UACGUAGGGUGCGAGCGUUAAUCGGAAUUACUGGGCGUAAAGUGUGCGCAGGCGGCGCCGCAAGUCGAGUGUGAAAGCCCCGGGCUUAACUUGGGAAUUGCGCUCGAAACUAUGGUGCUGGAGUGUGGCAGAGGAAGGUGGAAUUCCACGUGUAGCGGUGAAAUGCGUAGAGAUGUGGAGGAACACCGAUGGCGAAGGCAGCCUUCUGGGCCAACACCGACGCUCAUGCACGAAAGCGUGGGGAGCAAACAGG
This 253-nucleotide ribosomal RNA is filed under the name uncultured bacterium. RNAcentral's name for it is "partial 16S ribosomal RNA". It matches the Rfam family "Bacterial small subunit ribosomal RNA", at positions 524 to 776 of the family's 1533-position model. The record is from RNAcentral.